AACUGUGAAAUAAGAGACCUAUCUCGUCCCCUAUAAAUUGGAACAACAUUUUUCCAUCAUUUCAUUUUUUACAGAAGAUGGAAUGGUUAGUGUUUUGACUAGAAUAAUAACUAAGAGAGAGGAUAUACGUACAUAGUGGGGUUCUGUAGGAAGGGGUUCACAGAAUUCCACCAGAUCAAAUACAAGAUGUGGGUUGGGUGGGGUCUUUUUUUUAUAAUAACCUUUUUCCAUCAUUUCAUUUUUUACAGAAGAUGGAAUGGUUAGUGUUUUGACUAGAAUAAUAACUAUGGAAAAAGAUAUAGAGAGAGGAUAUACGUACAGAGUGGGGUUCUGUAAGGUGGGGUUCAAAGAAUCCCACUAGAUCAAAUACAAGAGGUGGGGUGAGUGGGGUUUUUUUGAUAAUAUAUUAAUUACAUGGAGCCCACCCCAUGUGUCUUAUUUGGAGGGGUUCUGUGAACCCCUACUCUGUACAUUCAACAUAGGUGAAAGAUAUAUGUACAUGAUAUAAUUCCGAAUCUUAUACAAAAUGCUGACAUGUCAUAUUUUGUAAUGAAAAUACCGACAGCCCAAUCAAAUCCAAAAUACCAUGAAAAUCUCGCCAGCUCACAAAUUAAUUUGAAUAAACCCUCCAAAAUUGGCCAGAAGCACUUUGCCCCAAAUCAAACCAUCUUCCCUUCAUCUUGCACUCCUCUCUCACGAUCCGCACCUCUAAGGUCCAACUAAAUAAAUCUCGUCGGCACAACUACCUCUGGCGAAGAAAAGACAAUCACAUAAGAUAUAGCUCUCUCCAGCACGCAAGUUAAUUGGUUCAGAUUGUGUGGAAUGGCCAGGAGGAACAGAGGAAUUUGACAUUAAAAGAAAUUCUGACAAUAAAGGGAAGUUGAUCCAUUGUUACACCUACGAUUAUAGGUUUUUCAAGUUUUUUAAAGUUUCGCCCAACAAGAAGUAUCUAUUGCAAGGUGAAUCAAGUGGAACGAGUUUCAAUUUUUCUAAAUUUGUCCCAUAUGGUGUAAAAGUGUGCAAAAAUAACUGAAGAGAGGAGCAUGGAGAUUUUGCUCAACAUAACCACAUGCAAGGGGAAACUAGUUGGAUGAGCUUGAUAUAUUGUAAUUAUUUGGUUUCACGAAUAAGACUAUCGAACUAUGUACUUUGCUU
This is a long non-coding RNA of Olea europaea var. sylvestris, 1155 nucleotides long. RefSeq lists it as uncharacterized. The transcript has 2 exons. The record is from RefSeq and is a predicted model, not a curated record. NCBI's taxonomy places the organism in Eukaryota, Viridiplantae, Streptophyta, Magnoliopsida, Lamiales, Oleaceae.